Molecule: ribosomal RNA, 253 nt
Filed under: uncultured bacterium
Lineage: Bacteria
Description: partial 16S ribosomal RNA
Rfam family: Bacterial small subunit ribosomal RNA
Source: RNAcentral
UACAGAGGGUGCGAGCGUUAAUCGGAGUUACUGGGCGUAAAGGGCGCGUAGGCGGCUUUGUAAGUUAGAUGUGAAAUCCCUGGGCUUAACCUAGGAAUGGCAUCUAAGACUGUAGAGCUAGAGUAUUGUAGAGGGUAGUGGAAUUUCCGGUGUAGCGGUGAAAUGCGUAGAGAUCGGAAGGAACACCAGUGGCGAAGGCGGCUACCUGGACAAAUACUGACGCUGAGGCGCGAGAGCGUGGGGAGCAAACAGG